This 464-nucleotide ribosomal RNA is filed under the name uncultured Aminicenantes bacterium. RNAcentral's name for it is "bacterial SSU rRNA". It matches the Rfam family "Bacterial small subunit ribosomal RNA", at positions 923 to 1382 of the family's 1533-position model. The record is from RNAcentral. Lineage: Bacteria; Candidatus Aminicenantota.
GCACAAGCGGUGGAGCAUGUGUUUAAUUCGACGCUACGCGAAGACCUUACCUGGGCUUGAACUGCUGGUGGUAGAAGCCCGAAAGGGUAACGACCCGGAGCAAUCCGGGAGCCAGUAGAGGUGCUGCAUGGCUGUCGUCAGCUCGUGUCGUGAGAUGUUGGGUUAAGUCCCGCAACGAGCGCAACCCUUACCCUUAGUUGCCAGCGGGUAAUGCCGGGCACUCUAAGGGGACCGCCCGGAUAACGGGGAGGAAGGCGGGGAUGACGUCAAGUCAGCAUGGCCUUUAUGUCCAGGGCUACACACGUGCUACAAUGGGCGAUACAGAGGGAAGCAAGGCCGCAAGGUAGAGCUAAUCCCUAAAGUCGUCCUCAGUUCGGAUUGCAGGCUGCAACUCGCCUGCAUGAAGUCGGAAUCGCUAGUAAUCGCGGAUCAGCUACGCCGCGGUGAAUACGUUCUCGGGCCUU